Molecule: ribosomal RNA, 497 nt
Filed under: uncultured bacterium
Lineage: Bacteria
Description: partial 16S ribosomal RNA
Rfam family: Bacterial small subunit ribosomal RNA
Source: RNAcentral
GAUGAACGCUGGCGGCGUGCCUAAUACAUGCGAGUCGAGCGAACAGACGAGGAGCUUGCUCCUCUGACGUUAGCGGCGGACGGGUGAGUAACACGUGGAUAACCUACCUAUAAGACUGGGAUAACUUCGGGAAACCGGAGCUAAUACCGGAUAAUAUAUUGAACCGCAUGGUUCAAUAGUGAAAGACGGUUUUGCUGUCACUUAUAGAUGGAUCCGCGCCGCAUUAGCUAGUUGGUAAGGUAACGGCUUACCAAGGCAACGAUGCGUAGCCGACCUGAGAGGGUGAUCGGCCACACUGGAACUGAGACACGGUCCAGACUCCUACGGGAGGCAGCAGUAGGGAAUCGUCCGCAAUGGGCGAAAGCUUGACGGAGCAACGCCGCGUGAGUGAUGAAGGUCUUCGGAUCGUAAAACUCUGUUAUUAGGGAAGAACAAAUGUGUAAGUAACUAUGCACGUCUUGACGGUACCUAAUCAGAAGGCCACGGCUAACUACGUG